AUUGAACGCUGGCGGCAUGCCUUACACAUGCAAGUCGAACGGUAACGGGCCUUCGGGUGCCGACGAGUGGCGAACGGGUGAGUAAUACAUCGGAACGUGCCCGAUCGUGGGGGAUAACGAGGCGAAAGCUUUGCUAAUACCGCAUACGAUCUACGGAUGAAAGCAGGGGACCGCAAGGCCUUGCGCGGACGGAGCGGCCGAUGGCGGAUUAGGUAGUUGGUGGGAUAAAAGCUUACCAAGCCGACGAUCUGUAGCUGGUCUGAGAGGAUGAUCAGCCACACUGGGACUGAGACACGGCCCAGACUCCUACGGGAGGCAGCAGUGGGGAAUUUUGGACAAUGGGCGCAAGCCUGAUCCAGCCAUGCCGCGUGCAGGAUGAAGGCCUUCGGGUUGUAAAAUGCUUUUGUACGGAACGAAAAGCCUUCUUUUAAUACAGGAGGGUCAUGACGGUACCGUAAGAAUAAGCACCGGCUAACUACGUG
Molecule: ribosomal RNA, 482 nt
Filed under: uncultured bacterium
Lineage: Bacteria
Description: partial 16S ribosomal RNA
Rfam family: Bacterial small subunit ribosomal RNA
Source: RNAcentral